ACAGGCUUCGACGGGAGAGGCUGGUCCCGGAAUGCGAGCCGAGCGGCGCCGAACUCGUAAACUCAGCGCAAACAAUCAAGUGCCAACCGCACUUCCUACGCUGCUAUGCCCCUCGCUGCAUAAGCGCUGACAUAACAGCCGUGGCGCCUUGGCGCCACGCGUCCGCCGGCACCCUUCUCCGUCGGGUGACGGACCGGGCGAGACAAUGGCGGAGUGCCGCGCAUGACGCCGCUACCUGCGCGAAAGACCAGCGGCUGGUCCCAGAGAGUUCCUGUCAGAUGAGACCUCUGGGAUGACAAACCUCGACUGACUACGCUCGUAGAUUUCCGAGGGUCGAAUCUUUCGGACGCGGGU
Molecule: transfer-messenger RNA, 354 nt
Filed under: Anaerolineales bacterium
Lineage: Bacteria; Bacillati; Chloroflexota; Anaerolineae; Anaerolineales
Rfam family: transfer-messenger RNA
About the family: Bacterial tmRNA, also known as 10Sa RNA or SsrA, is named for its dual tRNA and mRNA-like properties. Its role is to liberate the mRNA from a stalled ribosome.
Source: RNAcentral